This 365-nucleotide RNase P RNA is filed under the name Actinobacteria bacterium RBG_16_67_15. RNAcentral's name for it is "RNase P RNA component class A". It matches the Rfam family "Bacterial RNase P class A". Rfam says of the family: Ribonuclease P (RNase P) is a ubiquitous endoribonuclease, found in archaea, bacteria and eukarya as well as chloroplasts and mitochondria. Its best characterised activity is the generation of mature 5'-ends of tRNAs by cleaving the 5'-leader elements of precursor-tRNAs. The record is from RNAcentral. Lineage: Bacteria; Bacillati; Actinomycetota.
CGAGUUCGCCGGGCGGUCGCGGCUCGGUUUCGGCCGGGUCGAGGAAAGUCCGGACUCCACAGAGCACGGUGCUGGGUAACUCCCAGGCGGGGCGACCCGACGGACAGUGCAACAGAGAGCAGACCGCCGAUGGCCUCCGGGCACAGGCAAGGGUGAAACGGUGGUGUAAGAGACCACCAGCGCCGCAGGUGACUGCGGCGGAUCGGCAAACCCCACCGGGAGCAAGGCCGAGCAGGGGCAGGGUUGCUCGCCCGCUACGCCCCGGGUUGGCCGCACGAGCCCGUCCGGUAACGGCGGGCCCAGAGAGAUGACCGCCGCCGGCCCUCGGGCCGGCACAGAAUCCGGCUUACAGGCGGACUCACCAC